Non-coding RNA from Pseudoalteromonas piscicida, 67 nucleotides. The record is from Rfam. NCBI's taxonomy places the organism in Bacteria, Pseudomonadati, Pseudomonadota, Gammaproteobacteria, Alteromonadales, Pseudoalteromonadaceae.
GCAAUGUGCCGACAGGAUGUCGGCCAAGUCUUGUCUGGCACAGGGACGUGCCUUACAAGACGGUUGC